RNAcentral lists this long non-coding RNA (3574 nucleotides) under Ananas comosus (pineapple). Its description in RNAcentral is "long non-coding RNA (ACOM_LNC010895)". The record is from RNAcentral. Lineage: Eukaryota; Viridiplantae; Streptophyta; Magnoliopsida; Poales; Bromeliaceae.
GUGUAGAGAUCUAUAGACAAUGUGGGCCCGUUUGUUUUGGUGUAAGUGGAGUGAUGGAACUCAAGUUUCAUCACUUUCGUUAUUUGUUUUAAUGUAAGUGAAAAAUAUAAUGUAACUCAAGUUACGUUAGAGCUCCACUUCACCUACUCUCGACUUUCUCCUCUAAAGUGCCGAACUCGACUUUCACUACACUCAACCUCCUCUAAAUAAUUUAUUAAACAGUAAAACCUAAACUCUACUUUUUUUAUAAUGGGUUAGAAUUACUUUAUUUAUAAUAAAUUAGAAUUAUCUUUAAAUAAUAAAAAAAAAAUUAAUUAUAUAAUAGAUUAAAUUUUAUAGUGAUAAAUUUAUUAUUAUAUUUAGGAGAUAAUAAGAUCCACUUACUUACAUCAAAACAAGCAACGGAACUUAAAAAAUUAAUUUUACCAGCACCAAGUUACAUCAAAAUAAACAACAGAAGUGAUUGAAUUUAACUUUCAGACGGUACGAGUUACGUCAAAAUAAAUAAUAAAAAAAUAAUCACACUUUAGAAAAAUUCAAACAUUACUAUACUUGACUUACGUUGAAUCUAUAAAUACGUCAAUCCAAACGCUCCCUAUUUGCCUGCGGCCGACAACCAGUGUAGCAAUUUGCCCACAAAAAUACAAAAACAGGCAACAUGACCGAUGGUCAUAUUGACAGCAACACAGCGUUAGGUACGGUCCGCAACUACUCUCCUAACUAUUCUAGUGAAUUAAACUUCAGUAGGAAGCUUCGGAACGGCGUGUUAUUUGAGACCGAUUUACUGUUUAUGUGUUAGUUUUAUUUCUAUUUAAUAAUUCGUUUGAUAUUUUUUAAUAUUAAAAUUUAAGAACAAUUUUUUAAUUAUAAAAGAAAGAAUUAUAGUUAUCGUAGAUAUAAUAAUGAUACGUGGUGACGAAUUGAGACUCUGUGAUAAGAUAUUGCAGAUUGAGACUUCGUAACAAGAUAUUGUUAGAAAGCUCUCUACUGAAAAUUCUUCCAAACUCUAUAGAAAGAUCCGGAAAGAAAUAAGGAGAGAUUAUGUUCUCUAUUAUUUUGUAACAGAGAUUUUGAUUAGGCCAAUUACGUACCAAAUCUAAUAAAAAAAAAUGAGUAAGUUGAUGUAUGUAUACCAUGUUUUGCAAUUAAUUGUUGAAAUUAGAGAGCAGUGGAAACUUAUAAACUGAAUAGUCAACAUAUCCAGGAACCAAAAACGGAUUGGAUUGCUUGUUUUACUUGUCUUCUUAGAUUGCUCUUUGUAUCGAUGCUGUUGGAUCUUCCACACUCCAAGAGAGAAGAGAAGAAGGAAGGGCUACCAAAGUCCUCUUUUAUAUUCACUCUAAAAAAAUCUCCUUUUAUAUUCACACUCUAAAUUUCGGAAACGUGUGAAAAUUUGACAGAGAGAGGAAUCUCUAUAUAUGUACGAAAUCCGAGAGAAGGAAAUUAUCAGAAUCCCUUAAAAUAUUUUGAAUUUCAUAUAGAAAUUAGAAUUACAAUAUUUACUAAAAUAUUUAUUAAGGAUAUGUUUCUUAACUAAUAAAAAAUGUAUAAUUCAUUUUUAUCCGUAACUUAUUAGGAUAAAUUUUAAUUCACAUCUUAUGUGAAUCAGGUUGAAUUUGAACGGAUUAAUGUGAACACACCACAUGACAACAGUAAUUAACGAAGCUGUUUUUUUUAAUUUGUCCGUAAAAGAGUGAUUAAUUAGUUAUGGCUAUCAUUCACUACUGUGGAAUAGUCACUAUUACAUUUAUCUACUUUGCCCCUCGUAGAAGUAUUAUUACGGUAUCACCACCCCAAAAAUAUAAUUGUCUUUUUCUAAUUUCGGAGUAUUCCUAUCUAUUAUAUAAUUUUUUUUUUACAUAAACUAAGGUGAUACCUCUUUUAUUAGUGCUCUUUAGCUACUAUAAUUAUCAUUCUAUCCAUAAACCAAGCCUCUUUUAUUGUGAAUUGUAACUACUGUUUAAUUAAAAUACUUCGUAUCACUACAUGAAAUGGUGUAAAAACUACAAAUAGAUGUAGUAUUUUUACAAAGUGGUAAUAUUUUGUAAUGCAUGAAAAACCCCAGACCGUGAAGAAACUGCUAUCUAAAAAGUUUUAAGUCCGCAUCUUCACGAAAUCCAAUGAUGCGAAUUUAUAGGUGUCGGUGCGUUCCCAUGAGUCCAAGUAUAUGUAAACUUGUACGUGUAGGGACAUUGCAUGGUCCAUGAGCCCUACAUGCAUGAUGAUAACAUUAAUAUUGGAAAAAGAAAGAAGAGGAAGCAUAGUUGAAGUAAAAAGCUUUUUUUAAUGAUCGGAACAAAAAUCAAAUACUUAGCCCCGCCAUUGAAUUAUAAUCAAAUACUUAUUUGAAAGAAUUUGAAAUAUAUAUUUGAGUACAAAUUUUUUGCGAUGACAGAUAUAAAAGUUAAAAAUUUUAUAGGGGUAUGUAUAUAGGUGAUUGCAUUUAAAAAAUACACAGGAACAAGGAGGGCUAAAGCCAACACCAAGAAAAAAAAAACAAAGAAAAAGAAAAUAAAAAAAAAAAAGAAGCUCAAGCAAAGCAUAAAAUAUUGAGUGGUUAUGAAGCAUCGCGAUACAAAGUCAACAAAGGCGUCAGAGCAGAGUAACACCAACCAAACUUUUUGCAUCUUCAAAAGGAGAUCAACCAGAACGAAUCACCACAAAAUACUUAAUAAAAGAAGAGCAUGCAAAUCAUGUGGAAAAAUGCUUUAAGAGAGAUUUGAAGUAGUGGUUACAUAAGAGGGUCAAUGCAACGAUCCUUGUGUAGAAAUUAAAUCAGUGUUUCUAGUUGCAAGAAACUGCAGCUAAAUAAAUCUUUUUUUUCCCUUUUUUUUUUGACAAAAAUAUCAACUUAAAGUUCUUAUUUUAUUGAGGUAGUCACUCCAUUGGUCGAAAAUUCAUCUAGAAAAAUUCCUUAAAAAUUUUACAAAAUGUGUCGUAAAUGCCAAUCAUAUCUUAGACCGAAUUGACUCAUUAAUUAACCCCAUUUGAUUCACUUAGGGCCGGUGUUUUGGUGUAAGCGGAAGGGUGGUACUCAAGUUCCAUUACUUCCGAAAUUUGUUUUGGUGUAAAUCAAAAAUAUAGUGUAACUCAAGUUAUAUUAGACCUCCACUUCAUCUACUCUCGACUUUCCCUCUAAAUUGCCGAACUCGAUUUCCACAACAUUUAAUCUUCUAUAAAAAAUUUAUUAAAUAGUAAAACAUAAACUCUACUUCUUUUAUAAUGGGUUAAAAUUAUCUUAUUUAUAAUAAAUUAGAAUUACUUUUAAAUAAUAAUGAAAAUUUUAAUUAUUUAAUAGGUUAAAUUUUGUAGCGGUAAGUUUAUUACUAUAUUUAGAAGAUAAUAGGAUCCACUUACUUACAACAAAACAAACAAUAGAACUAAAAAAACUAAUUUCAUCAGCACCAUGUUACAUCAAAAUAAAUAGAAGAAAUAAUUGAAUUUAACUUUUAGACUAUACAAAUUACAUCAAAACAAACAACAAAAAAUUAAUCACAUUUUAGGAAAACUCAAAUAUAAUUGCACUUGAGUUACAUUGAAUCUUAGAUUCGUCACUCCAAACGCGCCCUUUAUC